UUUGAUGACUUCAAUGCAAAACAUUAAACUCAGAGAUUGGAUGCACCAAAGAAGAAAAGAGACUAUACACAUAUUUUGUAGUUUUAGAGGGGGAUGGCAAAAAGGUAUGAAGCAUGUGUGUAUACGGAAGCUCAAUUACCAAUCCUUUCUGGACUUCGUAUAAAGUAUAUAAUAGUCCGGAUGAAUUACUUUUCCUGAUCUAAAUUUUUUCUCUUGGGGAGAUGACUCAUGAGGUACAAAAUCAAAAUGAUGAUAGAAAUUCAAGGCGUUUAAAUUGGCGCUAAAUACUGUCAGGAAAAUAUAUUUUAGGUUUCGUCGAUAUGCAAGUAUACUUGCAUUUUUUAAUAACCAUUUCCCAACGUUCCUCCCUCGUAUAUGCUCAUCUAGCUGUAUCUCAUAUAUGUAUAAACAAGUCAGACCUGCUUCCACAGUGUCUUCAAAACUCAGAAAUCCUACCAAUUUUUUCGAGGUUUUUUCAAAAAUACAAAUAUACUCUAAUUUUUCCAUCUCCAUUUCCUUCAAUUUCUCUGAAUCAUCCCAUCCGAAGGAGCUUUGUCGAUAUAGUGCUUCCAUGUUCUUUUUUACCAAAUUGAAACAUUGCUGAAGAAGUCCUUUUUCUAGAUGAUGAUAUAUCUCCACCCAAACCCCUAAGUUUUUUAAAAAAUCAACGUCUUCGAGUGUAACAUUCUUGAUUUCCUGGGUCUUCAUACGUCUGGGUGAGUAAAAGAGGUAUUGCUUCAAAAAAUGCAUAAUGUUGUUAAGGUAUCAAUAUCACAUUACACUUUUAAAAACCAAAGAUUGAAUAAGGGUUUAAUACAUAUCGAGCAAAAUGCUAUCAUUUUUAUUAUUGUUGCUACAGCAAGCCUACUUAGUAAUACACGAUAACAAAAAAUGAAUAUUCUUAAUCAUCUAAUAAUUCCUAUU
Schizosaccharomyces pombe (fission yeast) is the source of this 924-nucleotide non-coding RNA. NCBI's taxonomy places the organism in Eukaryota, Fungi, Ascomycota, Schizosaccharomycetes, Schizosaccharomycetales, Schizosaccharomycetaceae. The record is from the annotation of a GenBank genome assembly.